This 725-nucleotide ribosomal RNA is filed under the name uncultured Finegoldia sp. RNAcentral describes it as "bacterial SSU rRNA". It matches the Rfam family "Bacterial small subunit ribosomal RNA", at positions 65 to 791 of the family's 1533-position model. The record is from RNAcentral. Lineage: Bacteria; Bacillati; Bacillota; Tissierellia; Tissierellales; Peptoniphilaceae.
AACGGGAUUUAGUAGACAGAAACCUCGGUGGAAGAUUACUAACGAGAGUGGCGAACGGGUGAGUAACGCGUGAGCAACCUGCCUAUGACAGUGGGAUAGCCUCGGGAAACCGGGAUUAAUACCGCAUAAAAUCGUAGAAACACAUGUUUUAACGGUCAAAGAUUUAUCGGUCAUAGAUGGGCUCGCGUCUGAUUAGCUAGUUGGUGAGAUAACAGCCCACCAAGGCGACGAUCAGUAGCCGGUCUGAGAGGAUGAACGGCCACAUUGGAACUGAGACACGGUCCAAACUCCUACGGGAGGCAGCAGUGGGGAAUAUUGCACAAUGGGGGAAACCCUGAUGCAGCGACGCCGCGUGAACGAAGAAGGUAUUCGUAUCGUAAAGUUCUGUCCUAUGGGAAGAUAAUGACAGUACCAUAGAAGAAAGCUCCGGCUAAAUACGUGCCAGCAGCCGCGGUAAUACGUAUGGAGCGAGCGUUGUCCGGAAUUAUUGGGCGUAAAGGGUACGCAGGCGGUUUAAUAAGUCGAAUGUUAAAGAUCGGGGCUCAACCCCGUAAAGCAUUGGAAACUGAUAAACUUGAGUAGUGGAGAGGAAAGUGGAAUUCCUAGUGUAGUGGUGAAAAUACGUAGAUAUUAGGAGGAAUACCAGUAGCGAAGGCGACUUUCUGGACACAAACUGACGCUGAGGUACGAAAGCGUGGGGAGCAAACAGGAUUAGAUACCCUGGU